UGGGGAAUAUUGGGCAAUGGGCGAAAGCCUGACCCAGCGACGCCGCGUGGGUGAUGAAGGCCUUCGGGUUGUAAAGCCCUGUCAUGCGGAAAGAACAGUCUUGUAGUGAAUAACUGCAAGAUUUGACGGUGCCGCAGGAGGAAGCACCGGCUAACUCCGUGCCAGCAGCCGCGGUAAUACGGGGGGUGCAAGCGUUGUUCGGAAUCACUGGGCGUAAAGCGCACGUAGGCGGUGUCGUAAGUCGGAUGUGAAAGCCCACGGCUUAACCGUGGAAGUGCAUUUGAAACUGCCAGACUUGAGUACCAGAGGGGAAAGUGGAAUUCCCGGUGUAGAGGUGAAAUUCGUAGAUAUCGGGAGGAAUACCGGUGGCGAAGGCGACUUUCUGGCUGGAUACUGACGCUGAGGCGCGAAAGCGUGGGGAUCAAACA
RNAcentral lists this ribosomal RNA (428 nucleotides) under uncultured prokaryote. RNAcentral's name for it is "bacterial SSU rRNA". It matches the Rfam family "Bacterial small subunit ribosomal RNA", at positions 355 to 774 of the family's 1533-position model. The record is from RNAcentral.